AGUUGAAAAAGGCAAACUAUCCGAAAGGAUAAGACGCAAAGUUAUGGGUCUAAGGUAUUUUAAUACUAUGACCGCCAGACUACCGAC
RNAcentral lists this non-coding RNA (87 nucleotides) under Atribacterota. Its description in RNAcentral is "Candidatus Atribacteria c-di-GMP sequence". It matches the Rfam family "c-di-GMP-I riboswitch aptamer". From Rfam's summary of the family: GEMM was predicted in a large-scale screen for bacterial structured RNA regulatory elements. Genes associated with GEMM are involved in a diverse array of functions, including chemotaxis regulation, signal transduction, secretion and chitin. The record is from RNAcentral. Lineage: Bacteria; Pseudomonadati.